Long non-coding RNA from Hyalella azteca, 248 nucleotides. RefSeq lists it as uncharacterized. Lineage: Eukaryota; Metazoa; Arthropoda; Malacostraca; Amphipoda; Hyalellidae. The transcript has 3 exons. The record is from RefSeq and is a predicted model, not a curated record.
UAACAACAAUAACAUGGGCGGUGGUGGCGGAUUUGGUGGUGGACUAGGAGAUCGAGUCUUCAACGAUGGAAGUGGCGUGCGGUGUCCAGUUCGGUUUUUAUUUCUGAAGCUGCUGCAAACUCUCGUGAUUUGCAGGGCAAGAAGCAUCCGCGGUUCCCGACUCAUGGCGUCCAUAUGCGGGGCCUGCCAUUCAAAGCCACCGAGCACGACAUCAUGAAGUUCUUCAAGCCUCUGCAGACGGUGACCAU